UACGAAGGGGGCUAGCGUUGUUCGGAUUUACUGGGCGUAAAGCGCACGUAGGCGGAUUGGUCAGUUAGAGGUGAAAUCCCGAAGCUCAACUUCGGAACUGCCUUUAAUACUGCCAGUCUCGAGUCCGGAAGAGGUAAGUGGAACUCCUAGUGUAGAGGUGGAAUUCGUAGAUAUUAGGAAGAACACCAGUGGCGAAGGCGGCUCACUGGUCCGGUACUGACGCUGAGGUGCGAAAGCGUGGGGAGCAAACAGG
Molecule: ribosomal RNA, 253 nt
Filed under: uncultured Devosia sp.
Lineage: Bacteria; Pseudomonadati; Pseudomonadota; Alphaproteobacteria; Hyphomicrobiales; Devosiaceae
Description: partial 16S ribosomal RNA
Rfam family: Bacterial small subunit ribosomal RNA
Source: RNAcentral